Molecule: ribosomal RNA, 104 nt
Filed under: uncultured bacterium
Lineage: Bacteria
Description: partial 16S ribosomal RNA
Rfam family: Bacterial small subunit ribosomal RNA
Source: RNAcentral
CCGUUGUACACACCGCCCGUCACACCAUGGGAGUGGGGUGAACCAGAAGUAGGUAGGCUAACCGCAAGGGGCCGCUUACCACGGUCUGCUUCAUGACUGGGGUG